Molecule: non-coding RNA, 79 nt
Organism: Podarcis lilfordi (Lilford's wall lizard)
Lineage: Eukaryota; Metazoa; Chordata; Lepidosauria; Squamata; Lacertidae
Source: the annotation of a GenBank genome assembly
GAAGGACCGUAGCUCAGCGGCAGACCACUGGCUUGGGAUGCAGAUGGUCCCAGGUUCAAUCCACCUACUGGCGUCUUCA